Small nuclear RNA from Hemiscyllium ocellatum (epaulette shark), 126 nucleotides. NCBI's taxonomy places the organism in Eukaryota, Metazoa, Chordata, Chondrichthyes, Orectolobiformes, Hemiscylliidae. The record is from RefSeq and is a predicted model, not a curated record.
GAGUUGGGUGAAAGGAGAGAAGAUUAGUGCUCCCCUUGAAGGGAUGGAAGAGGUUCUAGUGGCCUUAUAACACCUAGAUUGUUAAAACGUUCCCAUCUACUUAAUGGUACCUAACCAGGAUUUUGG